RNAcentral lists this ribosomal RNA (1274 nucleotides) under Mitrula elegans. RNAcentral's name for it is "eukaryotic LSU rRNA". It matches the Rfam family "Eukaryotic large subunit ribosomal RNA", at positions 30 to 968 of the family's 3401-position model. The record is from RNAcentral. Lineage: Eukaryota; Fungi; Ascomycota; Leotiomycetes; Helotiales; Mitrulaceae.
GAACUUAAGCAUAUCAAUAAGCGGAGGAAAAGAAACCACAGGGAUUACCUCAGUAACGGCGAGUGAAGCGGUAACAGCUCAAAUUUGAAAUCUGGCUCUUUCAGGGUCCGAAUUGUAAUUUGUAGAAGAUGCUUCGAGUGUAGCUCCGGUCUAAGUUCCUUGGAACAGGACGUCAUAGAGGGUGAGAAUCCCGUAUGUGACUGGUGGCUUUCGCUCAUGUGAAGCUCUUUCGACGAGUCGAGUUGUUUGGGAAUGCAGCUCAAAAUGGGUGGUAUAUUUCAUCUAAAGCUAAAUAUUGGCCAGAGACCGAUAGCGCACAAGUAGAGUGAUCGAAAGAUGAAAAGCACUUUGGAAAGAGAGUUAAACAGUACGUGAAAUUGUUGAAAGGGAAGCGCUUGCAACCAGACUUGCAUGCUGUUAAUCAUCAGGAGUUCUCUCCUGUGCACUUGGCAGUGUUCAGGCCAGCAUCGAUUUUGGUGGUUGGAUAAAGACCUUAGGAAUGUGGCAUCUUUCGGGGUGUGUUAUAGCCCUUCGGUGCAAUGCAGCCAACUGGGAUCGAGGACCGCGCUUCGGCUAGGAUGCUGGCGUAAUGGUUGUAAGCCGACCCGUCUUGAAACACGGACCAAGGAGUCUAACAUCUAUGCGAGUGUUUGGGUGUUAAACCCAUACGCGGAAUGAAAGUGAACGGAGGUAAGAACCCUUAAGGGUGCAUUAUCGACCGAUCCUGAUGUCUUCGGAUGGAUUUGAGUAAGAGCAUAGCUGUUGGGACCCGAAAGAUGGUGAACUAUGCGUGAAUAGGGUGAAGCCAGAGGAAACUCUGGUGGAGGCUCGCAGCGGUUCUGACGUGCAAAUCGAUCGUCAAAUUUGCGCAUAGGGGCGAAAGACUAAUCGAACUAUUAAGAACACUACUAGGUAGUUAAGAGGACCCUGAGAGGGGUAUUCUAGUCUCGAUUCCGAGGCAACACUGUCAAAUUGUUCGGGGACGUCCUGUUAGAUGAUUUACUACCGCAGCUGAACCUCGAAAGAGCAGUGCGCACCAGGUUAAUGACCUUGGGGAUGGUAAUAACGUAAUCAUAGGGAUAAUCCGCAGCCAACUUCUAAGGCCCUUCCGGGGUUAUGAAGUAGGUCCACAGACUUGACGACAGUGGGCACUUUGGGUGCUUAAGAUAAAGUCGACCCCUCGAGAAAUCGAGCGUUAGGGAUAAUCCAUAAGCCUAACGGGGUAGUAUAUUCACUACCUGGACAAACGCUAGUAGCUGGUUCCUGCCGAAUUU